AGCUUUGUGCAGUGGCAGUAUUGUAGCCAAUGAGGUUUAUCCAAGGCGUGAUUAUUGCUAAUACUAGCAGACACUGCCAAACAUUCUCCAAGUGAUUGAACUAAUUUACACUCUCACAGCAAAGUAAUAGAGUUACAGUUGCUCCAAAUCCUUGUUGACACUUUGUAGUGUCAGAUGUUUUUAUUUUUUAAUUAAAA
RNAcentral lists this small nuclear RNA (197 nucleotides) under Zalophus californianus (California sea lion). RNAcentral describes it as "U4 spliceosomal RNA (ENSZCAG00015015198.1)". The stretch from base 1 to 170 matches the Rfam family "U4 spliceosomal RNA". From Rfam's summary of the family: U4 small nuclear RNA (U4 snRNA) is a component of the major U2-dependent spliceosome. The structure of U4 snRNA from yeast and human has been reported. Lineage: Eukaryota; Metazoa; Chordata; Mammalia; Carnivora; Otariidae. The record is from RNAcentral.